UACGUAGGGGGCAAGCGUUGUCCGGAAUCACUGGGCGUAAAGCGCGCGCAGGCGGUCAUCUACGUCUGGGGUGAAAGCCCGGAGCUCAACUCCGGGAUUGCCUUGGAUACGGGAUGACUUGAGGAUCGGAGAGGCAAGGGGAAUUCCACGUGUAGCGGUGAAAUGCGUAGAGAUGUGGAGGAACACCUGUGGCGAAGGCGCCUUGCUGGCCGAUUUCUGACGCUGAGGAGCGAAAGCGUGGGGAGCGAACAGG
Molecule: ribosomal RNA, 253 nt
Filed under: uncultured bacterium
Lineage: Bacteria
Description: partial 16S ribosomal RNA
Rfam family: Bacterial small subunit ribosomal RNA
Source: RNAcentral